Molecule: ribosomal RNA, 467 nt
Filed under: uncultured bacterium
Lineage: Bacteria
Description: partial 16S ribosomal RNA
Rfam family: Bacterial small subunit ribosomal RNA
Source: RNAcentral
GACGAACGCUGGCGGCGUGCUUAACACAUGCAAGUCGAACGGAAAGGCCUCUUUCGGGGGGUACUCGAGUGGCGAACGGGUGAGUAACACGUGAGUAACCUGCCCUUGACUUUGGGAUAACUUCAGGAAACUGGGGCUACUACCGGAUAGGAGCUCCUGCUGCAUGGUGGGGGCUGGAAAGUUUCGGCGGUUGGGGAUGGACUCGCGGCUUAUCAGCUUGUUGGUGGGGUAGUGGCUUACCAAGGCUUUGACGGGUAGCCGGCCUGAGAGGGUGACCGGCCACAUUGGGACUGAGAUACGGCCCAGACUCCUACGGGAGGCAGCAGUGGGGAAUAUUGCACAAUGGGUGGAAGCCUGAUGCAGCAACGCCGUGUGCGGGAUGACGGCCUUCGGGUUGUAAACCGCUUUCGCUCAUGACGAAGCUUUGUGUGACGGUAGUGGGUAAAGAAGCACCGGCUAACUACGUG